AUCUCUGUAGAGUCUGCAUAUCAAUAAGCGGAGGAAAAGAAACUAACAAGGAUUCCCUUAGUAACGGCGAGUGAAGCGGGAAGAGCUCAAAUUUGAAAUCUUCAAGGUUUUACCUUGACGAAUUGUAGUUUAAAGAAGUGUUUUCUGUUGAAGUUUCGGUAAAAGUUCUUUGGAAUAGGACAUCAUAGAGGGUGAGAAUCCCGUAUUUGACCGUUAUUUUCAGCUGUGUGAUACACUUUCAAAGAGUCGGAUUGUUUGGGAAUGCAGUCCAAAAUGGGUGGUAAAUUUCAUCUAAAGCUAAAUAUUGGCGAGAGACCGAUAGCGAACAAGUACCGUGAGGGAAAGAUGAAAAGAACUUUGAAAAGAGAGUUAAACAGUACGUGAAAUUGUCAAAAGGGAAGCGUUUGACACCAGUGUUGUUUUCUCGAAAAUCAAUUAAAAAUGGCUUGAUUUUGUGUUGUAUUGACCUUAAAAGCUUUCUUCACUUUUUUCAUGUCUUUUUAAUGCACUUUUCGUUUAACAAGUCAACAUCAGUUUCUUUUGUUGUAAAAAGGUCAUUGGAAGGUGGCUUUCUUUUCGGAGAAAGUGUUAUAGCCUUUGACUUCUGCAAUCGGAGAGACUGAGGUCUGCAGCGUAGAUCCUUCUGGAUUAGAUUCAUUUGUGCUAAGUUAGCAACCGUUUAUAGACAACUUGUUGACUAUAUUCGAUCCUGUAGCUUACUCGCUUAUGUAAUUUUACCUACGCUUAGGAUGUUGAUAUGCAUGACUGAUAU
Molecule: ribosomal RNA, 772 nt
Filed under: uncultured Neocallimastigales
Lineage: Eukaryota; Fungi; Neocallimastigomycota; Neocallimastigomycetes; Neocallimastigales
Description: partial large subunit ribosomal RNA
Rfam family: Eukaryotic large subunit ribosomal RNA
Source: RNAcentral